RNAcentral lists this unclassified non-coding RNA (253 nucleotides) under uncultured Gammaproteobacteria bacterium. RNAcentral describes it as "contains 16S-23S intergenic spacer region". It matches the Rfam family "Bacterial small subunit ribosomal RNA", at positions 524 to 776 of the family's 1533-position model. Lineage: Bacteria; Pseudomonadati; Pseudomonadota; Gammaproteobacteria. The record is from RNAcentral.
GACAGAGGGUGCGAGCGUUAAUCGGAAUGACUGGGCGUAAAGGGUACGUAGGCGGUUAUGUAAGCUUGAUGUGAAAGCCCUGGGCUUAACCUAGGAUUUGCAUCGAGGACUGUAUAGCUAGAGGUAGGUAGAGGAUAGUGGAAUUCCCGGAGUAGCGGUGAAAUGCGUAGAUAUCGGGAGGAACACCAGUGGCGAAGGCGGCUAUCUGGACCUAUCCUGACGCUGAGGUACGAAAGCGUGGGUAGCAAACGGG